Molecule: ribosomal RNA, 460 nt
Filed under: uncultured bacterium
Lineage: Bacteria
Description: bacterial SSU rRNA
Rfam family: Bacterial small subunit ribosomal RNA
Source: RNAcentral
ACGAGGAGACGCUGGCGGCAUGCUUAACACAUGCAAGUGGAGCGACGAACCUUUUAGGGGCAAAGCCGCGAACGGGUGAGUAACACGUGAGCAAUCUGCCCCUGACUCUGGGAUAACAGCUGGAAACAGCCGCUAAUACCGGAUACGAGCUGCGAAGGCAUCUUCAGCAGCUGGAAAGAAUUUCGGUCAGGGAUGAGCUCGCGGCCUAUCAGCUUGUUGGUGAGGUAAUGGCUCACCAAGGCGUCGACGGGUAGCCGGCCUGAGAGGUUGAUCGGCCACAUUGGGACUGAGACACGGCCCAGACUCCUACGGGAGGCAGCAGUGGGGAAUAUUGCGCAAUGGGGGAAACCCUGACGCAGCAACGCCGCGUGAAGGAUGAAGGUCUUCGGAUUGUAAACUUCUUUGAUGAGGGACGAACACAAUGACGGUACCUCAAAAACAAGCCACGGCUAACUACGUG